This 962-nucleotide ribosomal RNA is filed under the name Ocellularia microstoma. Its description in RNAcentral is "eukaryotic LSU rRNA". It matches the Rfam family "Eukaryotic large subunit ribosomal RNA", at positions 191 to 1109 of the family's 3401-position model. Lineage: Eukaryota; Fungi; Ascomycota; Lecanoromycetes; Ostropales; Graphidaceae. The record is from RNAcentral.
UGGAACAGGGCGUCGCAGAGGGUGAGAAUCCCGUACGCGGCCGGUGGACGAGCCCGUGUGAAGCCCUUUCGACGAGUCGAGUUGUUUGGGAAUGCAGCUCUAAAUGGGUGGUAAAUUUCAUCUAAAGCUAAAUAUCUGCCGGAGACCGAUAGCGCACAAGUAGAGUGAUCGAAAGAUGAAAAGCACUUUGAAAAGAGAGUCAAACAGUACGUGAAAUUGUUGAAAGGGAAGCGCUUGCAACCAGACUCGUUCGCGGGUGCUCAGCCGUCCCUCGGGGCGGUGCAUUCUCCCGCGUUUCGGGCCAGCAUCGGUUCUGGCGGCCGGAUAAAGGCCUCGGGAACGUAACUCUCUUCGGGGAGUGUUAUAGCCCGGGGUGCAAUGCGGCCAGCCGGGACCGAGGACCGCGCGUUUGCUAGGAUGCUGGCGUAAUGGUUGUUAGCGACCCGUCUUGAAACACGGACCAAGGAGUCGACCAAUCGGGCGAGUUUUAGGGCGUAAAACCCUGAAGCGCAAUGAAAGUGAACGCAGGUGGGAGCCUUCGGGCGCACCAUCGACCGAUCCUGAUGUCUUCGGACGGAUUUGAGUACGAGCCCGGCUGGUCGGACCCGAAAGGUACGACCAUCAUUUCUUCUAAAAUUCGUUCUUGUAAAAUAUUCGCUAACUUUCUUUUCCAGAUGGCGAACUAUGCGUGAAUAGGGUGAAGCCAGAGGAAACUCUGGUGGAGGCUCGCAGCGGUUCUGACGUGCAAAUCGAUCGUCAAAUUUGCGCAUAGGGGCGAAAGACUAAUCGAGCCAUUUAGUAGCUGGUUCCCGUCGAAGUUUCCCUCAGGAUAGCAGCAACGAAAACUCAGUCUCAUGAGGUAGAGCAAACGAUUAGAGGUCUUGGGAUUAAAAUUAAUCUUAACCUAUUCUCGAACUUCGAAUAUGUGAGAAGUCCUUGUUACUUAGUUGAACGUGGACACU